Molecule: ribosomal RNA, 758 nt
Filed under: uncultured bacterium
Lineage: Bacteria
Description: bacterial SSU rRNA
Rfam family: Bacterial small subunit ribosomal RNA
Source: RNAcentral
AGAGUUUGAUCAUGGCUCAGAUUGAACGCUGGCGGCAUGCUUUACACAUGCAAGUCGAACGGCAGCGCGGGCUUCGGCCUGGCGGCGAGUGGCGAACGGGUGAGUAAUGCAUCGGAACGUGCCCAGUAGUGGGGGAUAGCCCGGCGAAAGCCGGAUUAAUACCGCAUACGACCUGAGGGUGAAAGCGGGGGACCGAAAGGCCUCGCGCUAUUGGAGCGGCCGAUGUCGGAUUAGCUAGUUGGUGGGGUAAAGGCUUACCAAGGCGACGAUCCGUAGCUGGUCUGAGAGGACGACCAGCCACACUGGGACUGAGACACGGCCCAGACUCCUACGGGAGGCAGCAGUGGGGAAUUUUGGACAAUGGGGGCAACCCUGAUCCAGCCAUGGCCGCGUGCGGGAAGAAGGCCUUCGGGUUGUAAACCGCUUUUGUUCGGGAAGAAAUCCUCUGGGCUAAUACCCCGGGGGGAUGACGGUACCGGAAGAAUAAGCACCGGCUAACUACGUGCCAGCAGCCGCGGUAAUACGUAGGGUGCGAGCGUUAAUCGGAAUUACUGGGCGUAAAGCGUGCGCAGGCGGUUGUGCAAGACAGAUGUGAAAUCCCCGGGCUUAACCUGGGAACUGCAUUUGUGACUGCACGGCUAGAGUGCGGCAGAGGGGAGUGGAAUUCCGCGUGUAGCAGUGAAAUGCGUAGAUAUGCGGAGGAACACCGAUGGCGAAGGCAGCUCCCUGGGCCUGCACUGACGCUCAUGCACGAAAGC